AACGCAUCUUGCGCUCCUUGGUAUUCCGAGGAGCAUGCCUGUUUGAGUGUCAUGUUAUCUUUUUCAACCUUCUUUUUUCUUUGAAACGAAGGCUUGGAUUCUGGAAGUUUAUGCUGGCUGGCUUUGGGCCAAGUUAGCUCUUCUUAAACGUAUUAGCAAGGUCAUUAUUAUCUUUGAUAAUGGCUGGAUCAUUUUUUGAUAUGAUAAUUAUCUAUAUCAUUAAUGAAACGGUUUAUAUCUUGCUUCUAAUCAUACUUGUUAUUAUUUGACCUCAAAUCAGGUAGGACUACCCGCUGAACUUAA
RNAcentral lists this unclassified non-coding RNA (303 nucleotides) under uncultured fungus. RNAcentral's name for it is "partial contains 5.8S ribosomal RNA, internal transcribed spacer 2, and large subunit ribosomal RNA". The stretch from base 1 to 52 matches the Rfam family "5.8S ribosomal RNA", at positions 103 to 154 of the family's 154-position model. The record is from RNAcentral. Lineage: Eukaryota; Fungi.